GACGGGGGGUCCUAGCGUUGUUCGGAAUCAUUGGGCGUAAAGAGGGCGUAGGUGGCCAUGUAAGUCGGGAGUGAAAUCCCUGGGCUCAACCCAGGAAGUGCUCUCGAUACUGCUUGGCUUGAAUGUGGAAGAGGAUAGUGGAAUUCCAGGUGUAGUGGUGAAAUACGUAGAUAUCUGGAGGAACACCGGUGGCGAAGGCGGCUAUCUGGUCCAACAUUGACACUGAGGCCCGAAAGCGUGGGGAUCAAACAGG
RNAcentral lists this ribosomal RNA (253 nucleotides) under uncultured bacterium. RNAcentral's name for it is "partial 16S ribosomal RNA". It matches the Rfam family "Bacterial small subunit ribosomal RNA", at positions 524 to 776 of the family's 1533-position model. The record is from RNAcentral.